GUUGCUUUAGGAAACAAAAUACCCUUCUAAAUCUUUGGGAUAAAAGUGCUGUGUGAACUGCAUUCAGUCAUUGAGAGGGAGAGGGAAAAUUAUGUGAUAAUGGAGUUUGCCAACUUGUGAGCACAUAUGCAGAUAGAAGACAAGGUAACUGGGAAGAAAAAUGCGGUGGACAUGGGGAAAAAGUACACCCUUGUUUGUGAAAUGACAUGCUGUUCCUCAGAAAAAUGGCCUUUAAUCAGUUGCUACAUUUUUCUACCUUUCCUCAUUUUAACUGCCAUCAUUGGUCUUAAAUGGAACAAAAUGAAGGGAUUUUGACACUGAGCAAAAAGUGUAAGUGGAAGAAGACAGCAGUAGUAGCAGCAACAGUAACAGCAGUAGUGACAGCAACCAGUCAUAGAGUAACUACAUGAUAACAUCAAAAGCCAUAAGAUAGAGAAAGGAUAUUACCAAGAAACUUACCAUUAACUGGCUUGAUUCAACAAUGAAAACAAAAAUCGCCUUUUUUCUCCUUUCAUUAUGGCUUAAAGCUUUCAAUUGCACAAACAAAAUAAAUUAUAUGACAGGAAGUA
Molecule: long non-coding RNA, 569 nt
Filed under: Homo sapiens (human)
Lineage: Eukaryota; Metazoa; Chordata; Mammalia; Primates; Hominidae
Description: HSALNT0346293
Source: RNAcentral